GAUGAACGCUAGCUACAGGCUUAACACAUGCAAGUCGAGGGGAAACGCCAUCGAAAGCUUGCUUUUGAUGGGCGUCGACCGGCGCACGGGUGAGUAACGCGUAUCCAACCUGCCCAUCACUUGGGAAUAACCUUGCGAAAGUAAGACUAAUACCCAAUGACAUCCCACGAAGACAUCUGAAUGGGAUUAAAGAUUUAUCGGUGAUGGAUGGGGAUGCGUCUGAUUAGCUUGUUGGCGGGGUAACGGCCCACCAAGGCAACGAUCAGUAGGGGUUCUGAGAGGAAGGUCCCCCACAUUGGAACUGAGACACGGUCCAAACUCCUACGGGAGGCAGCAGUGAGGAAGAUUGGUCAAUGGGCGAGAGCCUGAACCAGCCAAGUAGCGUGCAGGAGGACGGCCCUAUGGGUUGUAAACUGCUUUUAUAAGGGAAUAAAGUGGGUCUCGUGAGACUUUUUGCAUGUACCUUAUGAAUAAGGACCGGCUAAUUCCGUG
RNAcentral lists this ribosomal RNA (492 nucleotides) under uncultured bacterium. Its description in RNAcentral is "partial 16S ribosomal RNA". It matches the Rfam family "Bacterial small subunit ribosomal RNA", at positions 28 to 507 of the family's 1533-position model. The record is from RNAcentral.